This 508-nucleotide ribosomal RNA is filed under the name uncultured bacterium. RNAcentral's name for it is "bacterial SSU rRNA". It matches the Rfam family "Bacterial small subunit ribosomal RNA", at positions 1 to 507 of the family's 1533-position model. The record is from RNAcentral.
AGUACAGACGAGUUUGAUCCUGGCUCAGGAUGAACGCUAGCGGCAGGCCUAAUACAUGCAAGUCGAACGGAAUAUAGUUUUCGGAUUAUAUUUAGUGGCGCACGGGUGAGUAACACGUACAUAACUUACCCUCAAGAGGGGGAUAGCCUUGGGAAACUGAGCGUAAUACCCCAUAGUAUUAUUGAACGGCAUCGUUUGAUAAUUAAAGCUACGGCGCUUGAGGAUAGAUGUGCGUCUGAUUAGCUAGUUGGUAAGGUAACGGCUUACCAAGGCGACGAUCAGUAGGGGGCGUGAGAGCGUGGCCCCCCACACGGGUACUGAGACACGGACCCGACUCCUACGGGAGGCAGCAGUAAGGAAUAUUGGUCAAUGCCCGGAAGGGUGAACCAGCCAUGCCGCGUGAAGGAUGACUGCCCUCUGGGUUGUAAACUUCUUUUGGAUGGGACGAAAAAACGGGAUUUAUCCUGGACUGACGGUACCAUCAGAAUAAGCACCGGCUAACUCCGUG